AGCCAACUGACGAGUUCCAAAUGGGACGAAACGCACGCCCUGGAU
Molecule: non-coding RNA, 45 nt
Filed under: Schistosoma mattheei
Lineage: Eukaryota; Metazoa; Platyhelminthes; Trematoda; Strigeidida; Schistosomatidae
Source: RNAcentral